Molecule: long non-coding RNA, 623 nt
Filed under: Rattus norvegicus (Norway rat)
Lineage: Eukaryota; Metazoa; Chordata; Mammalia; Rodentia; Muridae
Description: long non-coding RNA NONRATT008726
Source: RNAcentral
GAGAAGGGAAACCAUGAUCAGAAUACACUGUAUAAAUAAAAAAGCGGGCUGGAGAGAGGGCUCAGUGGUUAGAGCACGGACUGCUCUUCCAGAGGUCCUGAGUUCAAUUCCCAGUAACCACAUGGUGGCUCACAGCCAUCUGUAAUGGGAUCUGAUGCCCUCUUCUGGUGUGUCUGAGGACAGCAAUGGUGUACUCACAUAUAAUAAAUAAAUAAAUAUAUCUUUUUUUUUUUAAGUUAAAACAUUUUAUUUGAGAAAAGAGGACACCCGAACCCUGCCAUUCUCACGGGAGAGUCAGCGGCAACGUCCAGAUCCGGUGGAAUUAACUCAUUUUGAGAAAAGAGGACACCCGAACACUGCCAUUCUCGAGGGAGAGGCGGCGACAACGUUCAGAUCCAGUGGAACCUGGACAUGAAAACGGACUGAGAUUAAAGGCUUGCACCUGGACUGGAGAGAUGGCUCAGCAGUUAAGAGCACUGACUGCUCUUCCAGAGGUCCUGAGUUCAAAUUCCAGCAACCACAUGGCUCACAACCAUUUAUAAUGGGAUCCGAUGCCUUCGUCUGGUGUGUCUGAAGACAGCGACAGUCUACUCACAUCUAUAAAAUAAAUAAAUCUUAAAAAG